UAUAUGCAUGCAUAACGCCCGGUAUGCGUUAAUCCGUGGGCACGUGCGUUCCACACAUACACAUGGAACUUGUAAUGUUUUAGUCGGCUUUUGUGUGUGAACGAAAAGUUACACAAGUAAGUGGAGAUAACCUUUGGGCAACUGAGGCACUAAUUCGAUGCACACAAUGCGCUUUUUGUCGUGUGGAUUUAUAUCACCAGUGGUAACAAUGACUUACCAAAAAUAAAGUUUGAGGAAUAUAACCGGGGGAAAAUUGUGGUUUAUGCAGCUGCUUUUGUUUUUCGCGAGUGAUAAAUGAAAACGGGAUUCGUGCAACUUAGCGAGGAUUGAGAUAGCGCCUACAAUAUGUGAGAGGUCUUUAAAAACUGUGACAAUGGUGAUUGGCACAAUGCGACUUAUCACGAUCUCCACUUCGCUUCGAGAUGUUGAAGGUCGAUGCGAGUAAUAAAUUUGCAACGCCCUACGGAUUCGUUUGUCGAGGGAAUUCGGGAGACCGCGGUCAGAACUAAGUACAGGGACGCCCUCGCAAGGUGGCGCAGCAGUUGGCCAUUCUCUCUACCACUCCCUUCGCACCAGUUUCGCACGAAUCAGCCGCCUCACACGACGACAAUAAUAUUAAUGCAUAAAAUAUUAACAAUUCCUAACCAAAUUUCUUCUUAUCGAGGCAUAAAAUUAAUUGUCUCCCCAAGUUUAUCCCAAGUGCCAGAGAGAACGCGCACAAAGGGACAAACCUUUUUCAUUGGUACUGCAGUAUAAAGAGUGCAGCGAGGCUGAACGUCCACAAAAAACUGGGCAAACAAAAAUGAAAGAAUAAAAAAAAUAUAUACCAUGAAAUGUUGACCGUGGUCCUUGAGCCGCGUUCGAGGUCGGACAAUGUCUACCGAAUGCACGAGAGACUCCUCACCAAGUGUCGGUCUCUGGCCCGCCCCCGACCUUCGUGCAGGUUUGGCUAAGGGAAUGGCCUCGGAUUUCCUGCGGGUUUUAUUUUCGGUUCUCCCAGGAUUAUUUCGCCUUCGUGCUGUGGUGUCUGCUCGGUCCCCCCCUUCGACCUUCAUCGAGGUUACCGCCAUUUAUGGGCGUGACGUGGAGUCGUUGUCCAUUGGGAUUUAUAGUGGUCGAUUUAAUGGUUUAUCGAAAAAUCAUCGCAUUCGGUGGAAUUCAACGAAGUUUUCGCCAUUUCUUUACAUUAAAUCUGACUACGUGCGAUUCCAGAACGUUAGAAAUUGAAAGCACGAUCGCUGAGCUUUUCGUUACCUCAGCAGAAAUUGAGAACUCGAUGGAAAGAGUGUUGGAAUUCUCGAGCUGAACAAACUGACCGAAACGAAGCGACGGCACGCACCGAUAUCACCACCCACUGAAUAUAUAUAUGUCCGAUUGAAUCCCGAAAUUGUUUGUCCAAUAAAUUUUUGUUAUUUCGCCUUGGCCCGCUGGGAGUAUUUGUGCGUCAUUGGGUUAUUUAUUUAUUUUUUUUUUAUUCCCCUUUGUAUUCUCCUUCCCUCCGUUCACUCUUUCGUCAAAUCAAACUACGUCCGGAGGUCGUUGAACCGUCGUAUGUGACAUGAGUUCUCUUUUCUCCGUCAAUGAAUAUCGCACGUUAAACCGAGAGAAGAUGAUGUACGUACAACUGAUUCCAACUCUCUCUCUGUCUCUUUACGAUUCCGAUCAAUUAAACCGAAACGACCAACUGCUGAAAAGAAGUCAA
Diachasmimorpha longicaudata is the source of this 1702-nucleotide long non-coding RNA. RefSeq lists it as uncharacterized. Lineage: Eukaryota; Metazoa; Arthropoda; Insecta; Hymenoptera; Braconidae. The transcript has 3 exons. The record is from RefSeq and is a predicted model, not a curated record.